This 789-nucleotide ribosomal RNA is filed under the name uncultured Staphylococcus sp. RNAcentral's name for it is "bacterial SSU rRNA". It matches the Rfam family "Bacterial small subunit ribosomal RNA", at positions 131 to 906 of the family's 1533-position model. The record is from RNAcentral. Lineage: Bacteria; Bacillati; Bacillota; Bacilli; Caryophanales; Staphylococcaceae.
UAUAAGACUGGGAUAACUUCGGGAAACUGGAGCUAAUACCGGAUAACAUUUGGAACCGCAUGGUUCUAAAGUGAAAGAUGGUUUUGCUAUCACUUAUAGAUGGACCCGCGCCGUAUUAGCUAGUUGGUAAGGUAACGGCUUACCAAGGCAACGAUACGUAGCCGACCUGAGAGGGUGAUCGGCCACACUGGAACUGAGACACGGUCCAGACUCCUACGGGAGGCAGCAGUAGGGAAUCUUCCGCAAUGGGCGAAAGCCUGACGGAGCAACGCCGCGUGAGUGAUGAAGGGUUUCGGCUCGUAAAACUCUGUUAUUAGGGAAGAACAAAUGCGUAAGUAACUGUGCACAUCUUGACGGUACCUAAUCAGAAAGCCACGGCUAACUACGUGCCAGCAGCCGCGGUAAUACGUAGGUGGCAAGCGUUAUCCGGAAUUAUUGGGCGUAAAGCGCGCGUAGGCGGUUUCUUAAGUCUGAUGUGAAAGCCCACGGCUCAACCGUGGAGGGUCAUUGGAAACUGGGAAACUUGAGUGCAGAAGAGGAAAGUGGAAUUCCAUGUGUAGCGGUGAAAUGCGCAGAGAUAUGGAGGAACACCAGUGGCGAAGGCGACUUUCUGGUCUGUAACUGACGCUGAUGUGCGAAAGCGUGGGGAUCAAACAGGAUUAGAUACCCUGGUAGUCCACGCCGUAAACGAUGAGUGCUAAGUGUUAGGGGGUUUCCGCCCCUUAGUGCUGCAGCUAACGCAUUAAGCACUCCGCCUGGGGAGUACGACCGCAAGGUUGAAACUCAAAG